AAAGGAAUAGACGGGGACCCGCACAAGCAGUGGAGCAUGUGGUUUAAUUCGAUGCAACGCGAAGAACCUUACCUGGGCUUGACAUAUAUAUGACGGCUCUAGAGAUAGAGUAUUCCUUCGGGACAUAUAUACAGGUGCUGCAUGGCUGUCGUCAGCUCGUGCCGUGAGGUGUUGGGUUAAGUCCCGCAACGAGCGCAACCCUUAUCGUUAGUUGCCAGCAUUUAGGAUGGGAACUCUAACGAGACUGCCUGGGUUAACCAGGAGGAAGGUGAGGAUGACGUCAAGUCCGCAUGGCCCUUAUGUCCAGGGCUACACACGUGCUACAAUGGCAGGUACAGAAGGCAGCGAAACCGCGAGGUCAAGCAAAUCCUACAAAGCCUGUCCCAGUUCGGAUUGGAGUCUGCAACUCGGCUCCAUGAAGUUGGAAUUGCUAGUAAUGGCGUGUCAGCAAUAACGCCGUGAAUACGUUCCCGGGUCUUGUACACACCGCCCGU
Molecule: ribosomal RNA, 494 nt
Filed under: uncultured bacterium
Lineage: Bacteria
Description: bacterial SSU rRNA
Rfam family: Bacterial small subunit ribosomal RNA
Source: RNAcentral